Molecule: microRNA, 21 nt
Filed under: Citrus sinensis (sweet orange)
Lineage: Eukaryota; Viridiplantae; Streptophyta; Magnoliopsida; Sapindales; Rutaceae
Description: csi-miR3952-3p
Source: miRBase by way of RNAcentral
UGAAGGGCCUUUCUAGAGCAC